GACAAGCAGUUGCACUCAGACACAGCUCACAGCGUUGCCACAGAAUCUCCCCGAGGCAACUGAAGUCCCGACGUAACAGAAUCGUCAUCGAGAUACGAAAAUACAAUAGGAACAGAACUUUACCAAUCUUCUCUUCAAGGUCACUACACAAGAUGAUGGGGACACUUGGAUUUAGUGGAACGUACCCAUAAGCGACCUCUGCCUGAUCCGCGGACGACGAUGUGCCUUGCUUGAUGUUGCCUGGCUUCCGUGUCGGCAAGUACUUGCUACCCUUUAUGCUGCAUUGACACAACCUGGUUUGAGUGAUUCCGAAAGAACCUGAAAAGAUAUAUCGGAAACUCCAUGCUUCCAUUAUAUCAAGUGAGAUAUUGAACAUGAAGGAUGCAUUCGAAUUAUUAGUUUUCGCCGCCACUGUCUUCAACGUCUUCGUGCGGGACCAGCCACAACGGCACCUUAAUGUUUUCCCAAGAAAUCGGGAACUGCAAGUCACAGAGGUCACCAAGAAGCGACAACACGUCACAAGCAGUGAUGCAC
This is a non-coding RNA of Dermacentor albipictus, 534 nucleotides long. The record is from RefSeq and is a predicted model, not a curated record. Lineage: Eukaryota; Metazoa; Arthropoda; Arachnida; Ixodida; Ixodidae.